UAUGGCUCAGAUUGAACGCUGGCGGCAGGCCUAACACAUGCAAGUCGAGCGGCAGCGACAACAUUGGACCUUCGGGGGAUUUGUUGGGCGGCGAGCGGCGGACGGGUGAGUAAUGCUUGGGAAUAUGCCUUAUGGUGGGGGACAACAGUUGGAAACGACUGCUAAUACCGCAUGAUGUCUACGGACCAAAGUGGGGGACCUUCGGGCCUCACGCCAUAAGAUUAGCCCAAGUGGGAUUAGCUAGUUGGUGAGGUAAUGGCUCACCAAGGCGACGAUCCCUAGCUGGUUUGAGAGGAUGAUCAGCCACACUGGGACUGAGACACGGCCCAGACUCCUACGGGAGGCAGCAGUGGGGAAUAUUGCACAAUGGGCGCAAGCCUGAUGCAGCCAUGCCGCGUGUGUGAAGAAGGCCUUCGGGUUGUAAAGCACUUUCAGUAAGGAGGAAAGGUUAAGUGUUAAUAGCACUUAGCUGUGACGUUACUUACAGAAGAAGCACCGGCUAACUCCGUGC
Molecule: ribosomal RNA, 511 nt
Filed under: uncultured bacterium
Lineage: Bacteria
Description: bacterial SSU rRNA
Rfam family: Bacterial small subunit ribosomal RNA
Source: RNAcentral